ACGUAGGGUGCGAGCGUUAAUCGGAAUUACUGGGCGUAAAGCGUGCGCAGGCGGCUUCGCAAGUCAGACGUGAAAUCCCCGGGCUUAACCUGGGAAUGGCGUUUGAAACUACGGAGCUGGAGUGUGGCAGAGGGAGGUGGAAUUCCGCGUGUAGCAGUGAAAUGCGUAGAGAUGCGGAGGAACACCGAUGGCGAAGGCAGCCCCCUGGGCUGACACUGACGCUCAGGCACGAAAGCGUGGGGAGCAAACAGGA
Molecule: ribosomal RNA, 253 nt
Filed under: uncultured prokaryote
Description: partial 16S ribosomal RNA
Rfam family: Bacterial small subunit ribosomal RNA
Source: RNAcentral